This 465-nucleotide ribosomal RNA is filed under the name uncultured Klebsiella sp. RNAcentral's name for it is "bacterial SSU rRNA". It matches the Rfam family "Bacterial small subunit ribosomal RNA", at positions 338 to 795 of the family's 1533-position model. The record is from RNAcentral. Lineage: Bacteria; Pseudomonadati; Pseudomonadota; Gammaproteobacteria; Enterobacterales; Enterobacteriaceae.
CCUACGGGGGGCUGCAGUGGGGAAUAUUGCACAAUGGGCGCAAGCCUGAUGCAGCCAUGCCGCGUGUGUGAAGAAGGCCUUCGGGUUGUAAAGCACUUUCAGCGGGGAGGAAGGCGGUGAGGUUAAUAACCUCAUCGAUUGACGUUACCCGCAGAAGAAGCACCGGCUAACUCCGUGCCAGCAGCCGCGGUAAUACGGAGGGUGCAAGCGUUAAUCGGAAUUACUGGGCGUAAAGCGCACGCAGGCGGUCUGUCAAGUCGGAUGUGAAAUCCCCGGGCUCAACCUGGGAACUGCAUUCGAAACUGGCAGGCUAGAGUCUUGUAGAGGGGGGUAGAAUUCCAGGUGUAGCGGUGAAAUGCGUAGAGAUCUGGAGGAAUACCGGUGGCGAAGGCGGCCCCCUGGACAAAGACUGACGCUUAGGUGCGAAAGCGUGGGGAGCAAACAGGAUUAGAUACCCGGGUAGUC